Molecule: ribosomal RNA, 254 nt
Filed under: uncultured bacterium
Lineage: Bacteria
Description: partial 16S ribosomal RNA
Rfam family: Bacterial small subunit ribosomal RNA
Source: RNAcentral
UACGUAGGGUGCGAGCGUUGUCCGGAAUUAUUGGGCGUAAAGAGCUCGUAGGCGGUUUGUCGCGUCUGCCGUGAAAGUCCGGGGCUCAACUCCGGAUCUGCGGUGGGUACGGGCAGACUAGAGUGAUGUAGGGGGAGACUGGAAUUCCUGGUGUAGCGGUGAAAUGCGCAGAUAUCAGGAGGAACACCGAUGGCGAAGGCAGGUCUCUGGGCAUUAACUGACGCUGAGGAGCGAAAGCAUGGGGAGCAAACAGG